AAAUUGAAGAGUUUGAUCAUGGCUCAGAUUGAACGCUGGCGGCAGGCCUAACACAUGCAAGUCGAACGGUAACAGGAAGCAGCUUGCUGCUUCGCUGACGAGUGGCGGACGGGUGAGUAAUGUCUGGGAAACUGCCUGAUGGAGGGGGAUAACUACUGGAAACGGUGGCUAAUACCGCAUAACGUCGCAAGACCAAAGAGGGGGACCUUCGGGCCUCUUGCCAUCAGAUGUGCCCAGAUGGGAUUAGCUUGUUGGUGAGGUAACGGCUCACCAAGGCGACGAUCCCUAGCUGGUCUGAGAGGAUGACCAGCCACACUGGAACUGAGACACGGUCCAGACUCCUACGGGAGGCAGCAGUG
This 359-nucleotide ribosomal RNA is filed under the name Salmonella enterica. RNAcentral's name for it is "partial 16S ribosomal RNA". It matches the Rfam family "Bacterial small subunit ribosomal RNA", at positions 1 to 356 of the family's 1533-position model. The record is from RNAcentral. RNAcentral also lists the same sequence under 1 other name. Lineage: Bacteria; Pseudomonadati; Pseudomonadota; Gammaproteobacteria; Enterobacterales; Enterobacteriaceae.